This 3282-nucleotide long non-coding RNA is filed under the name Macaca fascicularis (crab-eating macaque). RNAcentral's name for it is "lncRNA (ENSMFAG00000063583.1)". The record is from RNAcentral. Lineage: Eukaryota; Metazoa; Chordata; Mammalia; Primates; Cercopithecidae.
CAAAGUAUGAAGUUGUAAUUCUGAAAUAUACAUCCAAGUGAAUGAGAAUUAAAAAUUUUCUGAAUAUUAAUACUAACUGGGAAAAACAGAAAACUAGUGUGAAGUUUACAGUUAGAAGAAACAGACCCAAAGUUGCCAAAAGGUAAUAAAUAAAUGUAGUUUUCACUGUAAAUUAUUGAUGUAAGAUGCUUUAUUUGUAAUAUAUUUAGAUUUUGAAAGUUAUUGAGAGAUGAAUGUAUAAAAGCUAAAUUUUCUUUUCUGAAGCAGCGAAACAAAAUUGGGGUAACAAGGAAGCUCUAUGGUGGCAAACAUGUCUGUGAGGAAUAUUAAGCACACUCCCACAGGCUUUAAACUCAAAUCAUGAACAUUUAAAUUAAGUCGUUCCUUAUUUUGCCUAUACCCAUUUUUACCUUUCAGUGUCGUUUUUGCUUGACAGAGUAUGGUGACAGAGUGUUUUUAUUUGGAAAGUCCUCAGCAAGAUGAAUUAGCCAAAAGCAAUAAUGGUUCAGAUUAAACAAUGAAGUGGAAUUGAUUCAGUCCCAGGCCCAACUAAGGAACAGUUGCUCUCUGGGUGUCUCAUUUUAGAUGAUCGAUAAGUUGAGAUGUUGUAAUAUUUAUGGGGGGUUAAGCCUAUGUCAAUUGUGGGAUGAAGACUGGUAGUACCACUACCAUCAGUAGUCAUACUUUUUUUUUUAACUUUUUACUAAACUAAUACUAGACAUUUCCACUCUGUCAUGAUUAUAUUUUUAUGACAGGAAAAUAAAAACAGUUCCAUGUUUUUAUAAAUAGUCUCUGCAAAGAUUUCAGAUGUUAUUGGUAUCCCGGUUUGGCAGUAUCUGAAAAAUUGAGAUUGCCUUUAAAGUGUUCAUGCUACUUUUACUUAAGUAAACCUCCACUGUAUAAGACCCAGGCCGGUUCCAACUAAUACCAAGGUUUCUAUGCGCAUAAUAGUUUACAAAGAACUUAAAGACUAUGGAUUAAAAACAAAAAUUUUUUUAACUUUAAAAUUUUUAAUUUUUGUUCAAAGUAUCUGGUUUAUAAAGUCAAAUUCUUUUAUUAUUUCCUUUCUCUUUUAAGUUGACUGAUUUUGCUGAUUAAGCGUAAAGUCCCAGGCACAGUUGUGAUGACGUACUGAUAAAAUGGGUGCCUAGUGGGUUGAGGAGCUCCAGUGUCAAGACUUUUAUUAAAUUGCCCUUGUUUUCCCAAAUGCCAAUCUAGCCGUAUUUAGAUUUCAUUAUUCAAUAAAACAGAUUAAAAAUCAUCCCAUAAAUGAAUGUUGAGGUUACCAAAGUACAUCACCUGCUGAGGAAGGAGAAAUCUUCCUGCUUUAAGGGAGCCCUGUCGUCUCUCCUUGACACGUUGUUUCCCUUGGUAUUAGUGGAAGCUCUGUUCAAGAUGGGAAGCCUUUCCUGCAGUUCUUAGAAACACCUGCUUUCUAAAGAGAGCCUUUUCUAGGAUUAGGUUAUGUGUGUUUUCUCUAGGAGAUUUUUUAUUUCAGUUACCAAUUUAAUUUUCAAGUUGACAGAUGCUAUGUGAAGUCUCUCAUACUGAGAGUAGUCCAUUAAAGUUUUGAAAGUUGCACUGCUUUUCAUCUUUCAGGUACCUGAAACGAAUGACAUCAGGUGUUUGGAAGGAGUAAGAUCAUAAACUUUAUUCAUUUUCUUCCUUGUACAAAGUGAUGACUUCUAAUGCUUAUAUCUCAAGGUAUUUUUUAAAAAAGCAACAGUCCCUAAUAGAGUAAAAUUUGGUUUUGGUCCAAGUUCCCAAUAAUAUAUUUAAUGUUUCUGUUGUUACUGGUGCCUCCUGUUGCAUCAGAUAGAGAUUGCCUGCCUCUUUGUAGGGCACCCUUGUGGCACCUUAUGUCCAACUUGGAGGAUAGUAUAUGGCUUCUUUGUGCCUCUACUAUCUUUUCAAAAGCCAUUUUAUAAAAAUCCUAGGUAGCCUAUUUUAAUAUUUAAAUAUAUAUAUUUGUGAAAGAACUUUUACAACAGACUUUUUUUUUACUUUAAAAUUCCUGUAUUUCCAUUUUUAAGAGUAAAUUUAAUCUCCAGGAUAUAGAAGUGUCUUUUUUCCAGAGAAGCAUAAUGAGAAAGUCAGAUUGAGGUAAUAGACCAGAAUUAAGUGAUAGAAGAAGCUGUUGUUUGGUUAAAGGACACAGGUUUGAAGGAAAAAAAUUUUGAUGUAACAAAUUUUUAAAUAAAAUUUUGUUUUUGUUCUGUAAUUUCAUAUUUGCUGCUACAGUAGCUCAAUAUUUUACAGGGCUAACAUAAAUCUGGCUCCAUUUAAAAACUGGAGUACUUCCUAGUGCAGCCAGCCUAGGCAGAAACUGUACACAUGGUCUUCCAGCUGGGUGACUGAUGGUUUUGUGUAGCUGAUGCAUGCUUUAAUAUUUGCCUAUAGCCCUGCAGCAAGGAAGUCGAGGUGGGGGUACUUUUUUACCCUGCCAGUUAUAGCAUUAUGAUUCUUUCUGGGCACUGGCAUUUUGUGAAACUCUCAAGGGAAGGUGAUGCAGGGGAGAAAAUGUGAAUUAAAUUACAUAGAUGGGUGUUUUUAUGUCUUCUACCCCUUUCCUAGAAUUAGUACAACUCUUAACUGUGCCAGUCCCCAGUUCACCAGCUUUGUAUCCAGUCGUCAUCUCAUUCAAGUAUGGCUUUACUUGGUGACACUGGCCAUAGCUAAAUUACUUGGCAUGUUUGACUUUUGACAAUAACAGAAAUUGUUUUGGAUUUUGUUUUAUUUCCAAAAAAUGUAUACAAUGUCAGAACUUCACAUUUUAUAUACUAGUAUCUGGCUAUUAGUAUUUUACAGGAACCAUAGUUCUUGGUGACUACAUAUAUAUAUAUAUAUAUAUUUUUGUGACCUUUUUUGUAAACUAAGUGCCGUUUCAACGUUACAAUCAUUUUUAGAGUUAUUGUAAUCAAUGUGAAUAUCAUGUUUUUUCAAAUCUGUUCUGAGCCUAUAGUGUUUGCUUUGUGAACAUAAGUGUAUUGUAUAUAUUCUGUAUAGUUAUAUUGUACUGAAAUUAGCUUGUUUGAUAUAAGGAAAAUAUGUAUUGAGUACCUUUUUGCUAGCCUGAUUGUUUAAUCUUUUUAAAAAAGGUUUAAACUUUUUUAAAAAAAAAAAAAUUCUUUAAACUGGCCUUUAUUACAUGGUCACACAUAAAGUUGCAGUUAGGAAAGGGAUGGGCAGGGAAAAACUAGUUUUGAGUGUCUUUAGAUAGAAACAUGAGACUAAGGUUUGGUUUUGUUUUCGUUUUCUCAUUAAAAUAUCUUAUGCUUUAUG